This 472-nucleotide ribosomal RNA is filed under the name Fusarium oxysporum. RNAcentral describes it as "eukaryotic LSU rRNA". The stretch from base 119 to 272 matches the Rfam family "5.8S ribosomal RNA". Lineage: Eukaryota; Fungi; Ascomycota; Sordariomycetes; Hypocreales; Nectriaceae. The record is from RNAcentral.
AUACCACUUGUUGCCUCGGCGGAUCAGCCCGCUCCCGGUAAAACGGGACGGCCCGCCAGAGGACCCCUAAAACUCUGUUUCUAUAUGUAACUUCUGAGUAAAACCAUAAAUAAAUCAAAACUUUCAACAACGGAUCUCUUGGUUCUGGCAUCGAUGAAGAACGCAGCAAAAUGCGAUAAGUAAUGUGAAUUGCAGAAUUCAGUGAAUCAUCGAAUCUUUGAACGCACAUUGCGCCCGCCAGUAUUCUGGCGGGCAUGCCUGUUCGAGCGUCAUUUCAACCCUCAAGCACAGCUUGGUGUUGGGACUCGCGUUAAUUCGCGUUCCUCAAAUUGAUUGGCGGUCACGUCGAGCUUCCAUAGCGUAGUAGUAAAACCCUCGUUACUGGUAAUCGUCGCGGCCACGCCGUUAAACCCCAACUUCUGAAUGUUGACCUCGGAUCAGGUAGGAAUACCCGCUGAACUUAAGCAUAUCA